GCCACGGUGGUCUAGCGGUUAAACGCUGGCCUUGUAAUCCUGGGGUCUCGGGUUCGAUUCCCGGCGGUGCCC
RNAcentral lists this transfer RNA (72 nucleotides) under Zootermopsis nevadensis. It matches the Rfam family "tRNA". From Rfam's summary of the family: Transfer RNA (tRNA) molecules are approximately 80 nucleotides in length. Their secondary structure includes four short double-helical elements and three loops (D, anti-codon, and T loops). Further hydrogen bonds mediate the characteristic L-shaped molecular structure. tRNAs have two regions of fundamental functional importance: the anti-codon, which is responsible for specific mRNA codon recognition, and the 3' end, to which the tRNAs corresponding amino acid is attached (by aminoacyl-tRNA synthetases). tRNAs cope with the degeneracy of the genetic code in two manners: having more than one tRNA (with a specific anti-codon) for a particular amino acid; and 'wobble' base-pairing, i.e. permitting non-standard base-pairing at the 3rd anti-codon position. Lineage: Eukaryota; Metazoa; Arthropoda; Insecta; Blattodea; Termopsidae. The record is from Rfam by way of RNAcentral.